AUGUCGUUGUCGUCCUCGUCUCAUCCGACGUGCGGGGAGGAACGUCCAGUGGACAACCUUGCUGCGGCUCGGGAUGAAGCAGCCACGAGCUUCCUCCUCCUCCGGCUUCAGAGGACGACCACAUACUGGACUGAGUCCCAAUGUGUUGAGGCUGGGAAGGUCGGCAUGGCCUCCAACCAUGGCAAUACACCUACUAUGUUGCUGCCUUGCAAGCAGUAG
RNAcentral lists this ribosomal RNA (219 nucleotides) under Triticum aestivum (bread wheat). RNAcentral's name for it is "partial small subunit ribosomal RNA". Lineage: Eukaryota; Viridiplantae; Streptophyta; Magnoliopsida; Poales; Poaceae. The record is from RNAcentral.